GCCUGGGUGGCUCAGUCGGUUAAGCGUCUGACUUCAGCUCAGGUCAUGAUCUGUAGGUUUGUGAGUUCAAGCCCCACGCCAGGCU
RNAcentral lists this transfer RNA (85 nucleotides) under Felis catus (domestic cat). It matches the Rfam family "tRNA". From Rfam's summary of the family: Transfer RNA (tRNA) molecules are approximately 80 nucleotides in length. Their secondary structure includes four short double-helical elements and three loops (D, anti-codon, and T loops). The record is from Rfam by way of RNAcentral. Lineage: Eukaryota; Metazoa; Chordata; Mammalia; Carnivora; Felidae.